This is an RNA transcript of Hyposmocoma kahamanoa, 3943 nucleotides long. It is a transcript of the gene named filamin-A, with no coding region annotated. NCBI's taxonomy places the organism in Eukaryota, Metazoa, Arthropoda, Insecta, Lepidoptera, Cosmopterigidae. The record is from RefSeq and is a predicted model, not a curated record. The transcript is spliced from 19 exons.
UGAUAAGGAGGAUACGCCAAUAGUGUUUGGAGAAGCCCAUGAAAUAGCGUUUAAUAAAUCUGGCCUUGGACUCGACUGGAUCCCGUUGAAUUUUAUCACCAUUUACCACAUUGAUACAAGAAAAGCGGAAGUGAAGAUGCCGAGUGGUCAUACCGACGAGCCUAUCAUCGAGGACAACAGAGAUGGGACAGUCAGCAUCAAGUACGAGCCAAGAGAGGAGGGAACUCAUGAGCUCUACGUCAAGUACAAUGGAGAACAUGUACAAGGAUCUCCCUACAAGUUCCACGUAGACUCUAUCCCUUCAGGGUAUGUGACAGCGUAUGGCCCAGGACUGGUGAGCGGCGUCAGCGGCGAGCCAUGCCAUUUCACCAUCAGUACGAAGGGAGCUGGCGCUGGUGGACUUACCAUGUCUGUCGAAGGACCCAGCAAGGCCGAGAUCACUUGCCAUGACAACAAAGAUGGCACCGUCUCCGUGUCAUUCCUGCCAACUGCUCCUGGCGAGUACAAGGUCUCAGUCAGGUUUGGUGAGAAACACAUUAAAGGAUCUCCCUUCUUAGCGAAGAUAACCGGUGAAGGUCGUAAGAGGAACCAAAUCUCUGUAGGCAGUUGCAGCGAAGUCACCUUACCCGGCAAGAUCAGUGACAAUGAUAUUCGCAGUCUUAACGCUUCCAUUCAGGCACCUUCUGGACUCGAAGAACCCUGUUUCUUGAAGCGGCUUCCAUCUGGCAAUAUUGGAAUCAGCUUCACUCCUCGUGAGGCUGGUCAGCACAUCGUUUCUGUUAAGAAAAUGGGUGUUCAUAUCCAAAAUUCUCCUUUCAACAUCACUGUCACGGAGACAGAAGUUGGUGAUUCUAAAAAAGUCAAGGUUUCCGGCACGGCCCUGAAGGAGGGCAAGACUCAUACCGAGAAUACUUUCACAGUUGACACCAAGAAUGCUGGUUACGGUGGUCUUUCACUCUCCAUUGAAGGUCCCAGUAAGGCCGAGAUCCAGUGCGCAGACGGCAAAGAUGGCGUUCUGGCAAUCAGCUACAAGCCAACCGAACCUGGAUAUUACAUCAUCAACUUGAAGUUCGCUGAUCAUCAUGUUGAAGGGUCUCCCUUCACCGUAAAGGUGACUGGUGAGGGCAGCAACAGACAGAGAGAGAAGAUCCAGAGACAGCGUGACCAAGUACCUCUUACCGAAGUUGGCACAAACUGCAAGCUCACGUUCAAGAUGCCUGGUAUCACCUCCUUUGACUUGGCGGCGACCGUUACCAGCCCAGGAGGAAUCUCUGAGGACGCUGAGAUCCAGGAGGUGGAAGACGGUCUCUACGCUGUCCACUUCGUGCCCAAGGAGCUGGGUGUCCACACCGUGUCCGUCAAGUACAGGGAUAUCCAUAUUCCUGGGUCUCCCUUCCAAUUCACUGUUGGCCCUCUCCGAGAUUCUGGGUCCCACUUAGUGAAGGCCGGAGGACCGGGUCUAGAAAGAGGUGAAGUAGGCCGCUUCAACGAUUUCAACGUCUGGACAAGGGAGGCUGGUGCUGGUCAACUGGCCAUCUCGCUGGAAGGCCCUAGCAAGGCUGAGAUUGAUUUUAAGGACAGGAAGGAUGGGUCCUGCGACGUUUCAUACAAGGUUGACGAGCCUGGUGAAUAUCGCAUCGGUCUGAAGUUCAACGAGCAACACAUCCCUGACUCUCCGUUCAGGGUCUAUUGCUCUCCGCCUGUUGGUGACGCUCACCUCCUGGAAGUAGCUCAGUUCCCUGAUGGCGCGCAAGUCGACAAACCAGCUCAGUUCUACAUUAGACUGAACGGUGCUAAGGGUGAACUGAAUUCUACGGUGGUCUCCCCAACGGGCAAGACAGACGACUGCUUCAUCCAGAACAUCGAUGGCGACCAGUACAGCAUCAGGUUCAUGCCUCGCGAGAAUGGUGUUCAUAGCAUCAAUGUUAAGUUUAAUGGUAUCCACAUCCCGGCUUCACCGUUGAGGAUCAAGGUUGGAAAGGAUGAUGCUGAUCCAGCUGCAGUACACGCUCAUGGUCCUGGUCUUGGACAGGUUAAGACUGGUGUGAAGACAGAUUUGAUCAUUGAUACCUGCAACGCUGGCGCUGGUAUCCUCAAUGUCACCAUAGAUGGACCUUCCAGAGUGGCCAUGGACUGCACUGAAGUCGAAGAGGGUUAUAAGGUGAGAUACACCCCAUUAGCGCCUGGCAACUACUUCUUGAGCGUGAAGUACAACGGUGCCCACAUCGUUGGUUCGCCGUUCAAGAUUGAGUGUACUGGCAACAACCUAGCGGAAGUAGGAGCCCAGGAAACGUCGUCAGUAACAGUGGAGACUGUCCACAAAGUGUCCAAAGCUGGACAGAAACAAGGCCCGGUGCUGCCUCACUUCAAAUCUGACGCAUCGAAGGUCACCAGCAAAGGCAUGGGCCUGAAGAAGGCGUACCUCAACAAAAACAACCAGUUUACUGUCCACUGUGGAGAUGCAGGUAAUAACAUCCUCUACGUCGGUAUCUACGGACCCAAAGGACCAUGCGACGAAGUCCAGCUCAAACACAAAGGAAAGAACAACUAUGAAUGCUGGUACAUCGUCAGAGACAGGGGGGAGUACAUCGUCAUCGUCAAGUGGGGAGAUGACCAUAUCCCUGGAUCCCCCUACAAGGUUGAGGUCUAAGAGGUACAAAAACGACAGCGUAUGUAAGAUGAGGGUAUAUCGAUCCCUCCUACGUACAGAACUUUACAUGGGAACGUUUUAGAUGUAUCUAAACAAUGUAUUGUUAAUAAAAAAAAUUGAUUAACCAAGUAUUAUUGAAAUCAGUUAAGGGUCAGUCAGUCAUCCCCUAAUUUGCUACCCUUAGAGGUGGAAUACUUUAUUCGAAUUUGAUGGAUGUGAAUGAAACCACUACUGAUGGUUUGACUCCCUUUUCCCUCUCCAACAAAGAAAUAAUCAUCGAAAUCAGUUCACAGAUAUCGGAAUAAUCGCGUAACAUAUCCACAAAAUAAUAUGCAGUCGAAUUGAGAACUCCCUCUUUUUUGGAAGUCAGUAAAUAAAAAGAAAAUGAUUUAUUAAAAAUGUACCUAUUUUUUGCUUACGAUAGAUUACGUAGGAGGAAUCGAUAUCAGGGCGCGUUCUGGAAAUUUCUACGUGGUUUGUUGUUGAGAACUUUAUAUUUAUUUUGUUUCAUAAACUGUUUUUAAAUUGUGGCAAUACAUUAUUUCCUAUAUUUCUGUAUGAGUCUCUAACAGAUAUGUUUGGAAUCUGUUAUGGUAGAAUAGGUUCCAUUUUUGACGUCAUUUUACCAAUAAGUAAUGUGUUUUCUAGUCAUGUAAUUAUAGACAACUGAUUAUAUUUUGUCUUUUAAUUAUGAUAAUGACUAGAAUCUCUUUUAUUUGUUACAAACCCGAGCAGUAGAGCGUUUCAAGAAAAAGUCAGUCGUAUUUUAAAAGACAAAAUAGUGCAGUUGGUAUCAUCGUAGAUCCUUAUUUAUUAUCUUUAAAAAUAUAAUUUAAAAAAUCACAUACGCUGUCGAUUGAGUUUUGUCUUGAUUUUCGAUGAUUUUGUUCUUAUUUCUCUUUUAAGGGCAUAAUCAUUGAAUAUCAUUUUUAUAACGUUAUAAUUUAACUCAUAAGCUUUGGAUUACGAGAAAGUUUAUUUUGUCUGUCAUAAUUUUUAAUCGAACUUUUCAGAUAUAUGACGAACUUUAAACUUUAUCGUACAUUCAAAUUAAAAAAUAUAUUUGUGCUUCGUUUUCUUGUUCCUGUAUCUUCUUUAAAUAUCAUAAGAAUCAAAGAAUAUUUAAGCAUUUUCAAAUAUCUAACAAUCUGAUAAAUAAUUUUGUCAUAUUUUUCUGGUAUAUUGUGUACCAAUUUUUAGGACAAUUUAUAUGAUUCUCGUUUAGUUUUUAGGGCGACUAAAUGACAAUACAUAUGAAUUAUUAUCUUUAAUAAAUAUUCCCUUUUUAUAUCU